Lentinula aff. lateritia is the source of this 94-nucleotide non-coding RNA. Lineage: Eukaryota; Fungi; Basidiomycota; Agaricomycetes; Agaricales; Omphalotaceae. The record is from the annotation of a GenBank genome assembly.
ACACCGUUGGUGAAGUGGUUAUCAUGCUUGCCUUCCAUCCCAAUCCAAGUAGUAGGAGUAGCAAGCGGCUCGGGUUCGAUUCCCGAACGGUGUA